This 404-nucleotide ribosomal RNA is filed under the name Fusobacteriota bacterium. RNAcentral's name for it is "Fusobacteria bacterium partial 16S ribosomal RNA". It matches the Rfam family "Bacterial small subunit ribosomal RNA", at positions 355 to 776 of the family's 1533-position model. Lineage: Bacteria; Fusobacteriati; Fusobacteriota. The record is from RNAcentral.
UGGGGAAUAUUGCACAAUGGAGGGAACUCUGAUCCAGCGACGCCGCGUGGGUGAGGAAGGAAUUCGUUUCGUAAAACUCUGUUCUAGGGGAAGAAAAGGACUGUACCAUAGGAGAAAGCUCCGGCUAAAUACGUGCCAGCAGCCGCGGUAAUACGUAUGGAGCGAGCGUUGCCCGGAAUUAUUGGGCGUAAAGGGUGCGCAGGCGGCCUUACAAGUUGGAUGUGAAAUUUUGUGGCUCAACCACAAACGUGCAUCCAAACCGGGAAAGCUUGAGUUACGGAGAGGUGAGUGGAAUUCCUGGUGUUGCGGUGGAAUGCGUAGAUAUCAGGGAGAAAACCGGUGGCGAAGGCAACCUACUGGACUGAAACUGAAGCUCAGGCACGAAAGCGUGGGGAGCAAACAGG